This 393-nucleotide ribosomal RNA is filed under the name Triticum aestivum (bread wheat). RNAcentral's name for it is "partial small subunit ribosomal RNA". The record is from RNAcentral. Lineage: Eukaryota; Viridiplantae; Streptophyta; Magnoliopsida; Poales; Poaceae.
AUGGAGCACUGGACCGAGGGUCUGGUGAAUAUUGCCGCAGUCAUCGACGAGGAGCUGGCGCAGCUGGGGAUGGAGGACUUUGGGUAUCCCUCCGACGAGAAUCUCCAACCCAGCGCCAAGCUCAGCCUGUUCUUCAAGGGCGUGGCGACGACACUCCAGCGGCUCCGGGAAAGGAUCCCAAAGCAGUUGGUCGACGAGUUGCGCAAAAUCUGCGCCGGAGUUUUCCAGAAGGUGCUGAUGAAGGUGGCCUUCCGCAAUCUAGGCCUCAGCUUCACCAACGUCCUCAAGUCCUUGCCGUCAGACGCCGAUCGGGACGCACUCAAGGCCCUUAUCGCACCCAUUGUGGACAAGGUGAGCGAGAUCAAGAGGGUUGAGGGCGAUCGCGUAGACUAG